UAGUGGGAGCAAUAUUUUGUUAGAGUAAAAUUCUUUUAGAGGUAAUGGAGAAAGUGUUUAAGUGUUUUGAGAGAGUUUUUUAGGAAAUAGAACUUUUAUUACUUUGCUUUAAACUUGAAUACAACUUCACAAUAUUACAACAUUUGAGAAGGGGAGGAGGUAUUUAUAGCCUCCAAACUACAAAAUAUCUAAAAUAUUUUAAUCCUAAGUCUAGAGAGUUCUUACAUAAGAUCUAGAUUACAUUAUUCAAAUUAUCUAGAUUAUUCUAUUAGAGUAUCUAGAUUUUUAUGUUUAAGGAGGUGGAAGAUGAUUCUAGAAAAUUUCUAGAAUCUUUUAAGGAGGUGGAAAUGAUGAUAUUUCUAAAGAAAACUCUAGAACUUGGAUUUGGCCAUAAUUAAUUAUUGGAUAAUUGAUCCAAUAAUUAAACUUGAUUCAAAAUCAAGUUUAACUUUCAACACCCCCUCUUAAACUUGAUUUUGCUACUCCAAGCAAACUCCUCAUCUUGAUAAAGUCUUCACGCUUGAGAGGCUUGGUAAAAAUAUCGGCUACUUGAUCAUGUGUCUUCACAUACUCCAAUUGCACGUCCUUCUUGCUAACACACUCUCUAAUGUAGUGAUAGCGUGUGUCAAUGUGUUUACUUCGAUCAUGGAAGACCGGGUUCUUCGCCAAAGCUAUUGCCGACUUGUUGUCCACAAAGAUCUUCGUUGGUUCCUCUUGUGGUAAGCUUAACUCCUUCAAGAGGUUUCUUAACCAAAUAGCAUGGCAUACACAUGACGUAGCCGCUACAUACUCCGCUUCACAAGUGGAUAGAGUGACAAUUGGUUGUUUCUUCGACAUCCAUGUGAAAGCCGUGUCUCCAAUGUAAAACACAAAACCACUUGUACUCUUUCGGUCAUCUACGUCUCCACCCCAAUCGCUAUCGCUAUAUCCAACAAGCUUGUAAUCACUAGUAGUUGAAUAAUGUAAGCCAAAGUUUACGGUACCUUUGAUAUAGCGAAGAAUCCUUUUUGCCGCUUUGAAAUGAGUUGUUGUUGGAUGCUCCAUGUAACGACUAACAACUCCGACCGCAUAUAAAAUAUCGGGCCUUGUGCAUGUUAAGUAUCUCAAGCUUCCAACCAAGCUCUUAAAGGUUGUUGGAUCCACUCCUUCCCCUUCUUCUUUCUUUGAUAGUUUGAUUCCGCAUUCCAUUGGUGUACAAACGGGAUUUGAGUCAUCCAUCUUGAACUUCUUAAGUACCUCCUUAGCAUAGCCUUCUUGAGUUAUGAAUAUUCCAUUGUCUUCUUGUUUUACUUCAAUUCCGAGAUAGUAAGACAUCAAUCCAAUGUCCGUCAUCUCGAACUCCUUCGUCAUCUCUUUCUUGAAUUCUUCGAACAUGCUUGGAUUGUUACCCGUGAAUAUCAAGUCAUCUACAUAUAAGCAUGCGAUCAAUAUAUCUUCUUUUUGAAUUUUGAUAUAGAGUGCAUGCUCAUAUGGACACUUGAUGAAAUCUUUCUCCUUGAAAUACUUGUCAAUUCGAGUAUUCCAAGCUCUUGGGGCUUGUUUUAAUCCAUAAAGCGCCUUUUUUAGUCUCAAGACUUUGUCUUCUUCACCUUUGACUAUGUAGCCUUGUGGUUGCUCAAUGUAAACUUCUUCUUCAAGAUCUCCAUUUAAGAAGGCCGACUUGACAUCCAUUUGAUGUAUCUUCCACUUGUUUUGAGCCGCUAGUGAGAUGAUUAGUCUAACCGUUUCUAGACGAGCAACGGGAGCAAAUACCUCGUCAUAGUCAAUUCCGGCUCUUUGACUAUAACCUUUUGCAACCAAUCUUGCUUUGUAUCUUUCCACUUCUCCUUUAGAGUUUUUCUUUGCUUUAUACACCCACUUCACGCCAAUUGCCUUGUGUCCAUUUGGAAGUGAAGUUAACUCCCAUGUGUCAUUCUUUUGUAUUGAUUUGAUCUCUUCAUCCAUGGCAUUUCUCCAAGUCUUCUUUUCAAUGGCUUCUUGGAAAUCCAUGGGUUCGCACUUUUCUUCUAUUUGAGAACUUGUUGGUGAAGUUGGUGGUGUAGUAGGCUCUUCACUUGGUGGCUCCUCUCUUGUUGGCUCCGGCUUAUCUUCUUCAAAAUGUGGAAAGAAGUUAUAAUCUUCUUCAUUUGAGUUCCAAUCCCAUUCUCCUUCUUCAUCGAACACUAUAUUUCGACUAAUAAUUGUCUUCUUCGUAUCGGGAUUAUAGAGCUUGUAGCCUUUGGAGUUGUUAUCAUAACCAAUGAAGAUAUACUUCUCACUUUUGUCAUCUAGUUUGCUCCGCUUCUCAUCCGGUACAUGAGCAUGAGCAAUACUUCCAAAGACUCUUAAAUGAGAAACACCGGGCUUUCUUCCGCUCCAAGCUUCUUGUGGUGUUUUUCCGGAGACACUUUUUGUUGGAGAUCGAUUUAAUAGAUAAACCGCACACGCGACCGCUUCCGCCCACAACUCUUUUGGUAGUCUCUUACUUUUGAGCAUGCUCCUUGCCAUCUCAAGAAUUGUUCUAUUCUUUCUUUCCGCUACACCAUUUUGUUGAGGGGAUCUUGGCACCGUUAAUUGUCUUCGAAUGCCGUUGUCUUCACAAUACUUAAGAAACUCCUUGGAUGUAAAUUCUCCUCCACGGUCGGAUCUCAUGGUUUUGAUCACAAGACCACUCUCCUUCUCAACAUGGGCUUUAAACUUUUUGAAAAUUUCGAACACCUCGGAUUUUUCUUUCAAAAAAUAUACCCAUGUUUUUCUUGAAAAAUCAUCAAUAAAGAGAAGGAAGUAAUUACUUUUACCAAGUGAUUUCGGCUUGAUCGGACCACACACAUCGGUGUGUAUUAGCUCCAACGGUUUUUGUGCUCUUGAACUUGACUCCUUUGGAAAGCUCAUUUUGAAUUGCUUUCCAAGUAGACAUCCUUCACACACUUGAUUUGGAUGAUUUAUACAAGGUAGCCCUCUCACCAUUUCCUUCCUUGAAAGCAACUCCAAUCCUCCAAAAUUUAGAUGUCCGAAUCGAAGAUGCCAUAGCCAAGACUCCUCUUUGUAACACAUCUUAAGACAUUGUGCAAUGUCAUUUCGAAUGUUGAGGACAAACAUUCUAUUUUUCGACAUUGGCACCUUGGUAAUGAGAUUGCUUUCUUGGUCUCUUAUUGAAAGGUUAUUAUCUUUUAAUCUAAUAUCAUAACCUUUCUCUAAGAGUUGUCCAAGGCUCAAGAUGUUUGUCUUCAUGCUCGGAAUAUAGUAAACGUUGGAAAUAAAUUGAUGAUCUCCAUUCUUCAAUCGAAUAAGAAUGUUUCCUUUACCUUUUACCUCCAUCUUCGAUUCAUCUCCUAAAGCCACAUUUCCUCUCACCGAUUCAUCAAGCUCCGCGAACAUACUUUUUCUCCCGCACAUGUGAUUACUUGCACCACUAUCGAGGUACCACUUAUGAUUCUCUUCUUGUUCAUCUUUCUUGUAGCUAGCCAUUAAUAACAUGUCUUCUUCUUGAAUUUUUUCUUCAACGUAGUUGGCCUUCUCCUCAAAUUUUUUGUUGCUAGGAGCUUUACAUUCAGAAGCAUAAUGUCCAAACUUCCCACAAUUGUAGCAUUUGACACUUGAUUUAUCGUAUCUUGAUUUUGGGUGUCCUUUCCCACGACCUCUUGAUGAGUUUUCACCUCUUUGGUUUGUGUUGUCUUCAUGUGGCCUCCAACCACGUCCAUUUCCAUAUCCACCACGACCUCGUCCUCGUACUUGACCACCACCUCUUCUUUGGUAACUUUGGCCGUUUUCUUCUUUUGUAAUUUGCAUAUUGAGGACUUGUUCGACGAUAUCUUCUUUCUUCUUCUUCUUUUCUUCAUAAGCUUGUAAUGACCCAAGAAGUUGCUCUAUUGUCAUAGCUUCUAAAUCUUUUGUUUCUUCAAUGACGGUGACAAUAUGCUCAAAUUUUAGAUCCAAUGAUCUAAGAACUUUCUCCAUGAUUCUCACAUCAUCUAGCUUCUCUCCGUUUCUUUUAAGGUUAUUAGUAACCGUCAACACUCUUGAGAAGUAAUCGGAGACGAGUUCACCUUCCUUCAUUUGUAGUGCUUCAAAUUCUCCUCUUAGAGUUUGAAGACGUACUUUCUUGACUUGAUCGGCACCUUUGUAAGAGGUUCGAAGCUUCUCCCAUGCUUCUUUCGCCGACGUAGCUUCAACGACCUUCUCGAACGUAUCUUCAUCUAAUCCUUGAUAGAUUAGACAGAGAGCUUUCUUGUCUCUCUUUCUUGAGUCUCUCAAACCAUCUUUUUGAGUUUGAGAAAGACUACCUUCAUUCUCCGGUUCAAUGAAACCUUUCUCGACUAUCUCCCACACGUCAUGUGCUCCUAGGAUAGCCUUCAUUCGUAGACUCCAAUUAUCAUAGUUGCUCUUUGUGAGCACCGGGACUUGGAAGGGAACAUUAUUACUCGCCAUCUUUAGGAUCUUCAAGCUCUGAUACCACUUUGUUAGAGUAAAAUUCUUUUAGAGGUAAUGGAGAAAGUGUUUAAGUGUUUUGAGAGAGUUUUUUAGGAAAUAGAACUUUUAUUACUUUGCUUUAAACUUGAAUACAACUUCACAACAUUACAACAUUUGAGAAGGGGAGGAGGUAUUUAUAGCCUCCAAACUACAAAAUAUCUAAAAUAUUUUAAUCCUAAAUCUAGAGAGUUCUUAUAUAAGAUCUAGAUUACAUUAUUCAAAUUAUCUAGAUUAUUCUAUUAAAGUAUCUAGAUUUUUAUGUUUAAGGAGGUGGAAGAUGAUUGUAGAAAAUUUCUAGAAUCUUUUAAGGAGAUGGAAAUGAUGAUAUUUCUAAAGAAAACUUUAGAACUUAGAUUUGGCCAUAAUUAAUUAUUGGAUAAUUGAUCCAAUAAUUAAACUUUU
This 4851-nucleotide small RNA is filed under the name Arabidopsis thaliana (thale cress). Its description in RNAcentral is "ATSL058570". Lineage: Eukaryota; Viridiplantae; Streptophyta; Magnoliopsida; Brassicales; Brassicaceae. The record is from RNAcentral.